AACUUUUGCUGGUUUCUAUUUAGCUACUAAUUAGAUGAUUCUUUUUACUUUUCUCAUUUCAGGUAGGUUUAUUAGCAUCUCCAGGGACAGUUGAAAGCCUCGUUGAUCAUUUUCGUUGGAUUUUUGGCCGCUUUGCAGGUGAGUGUAUAUUCUUUUUACUUUUCUCGUUUCAGGUAGGUUUAUUAGCGCAUCCAGGGACAUUUGAAAGCAUUGCUGAUCAUCUUCGUUGGAUUUUUGGCCGCUUAGCAGGUAGGUUUAUUAGCAUCUCCAGGGACAGUUGAAAGCCUCGUUGAUCAUUUUCGUUGGAUUUUUGGCCGCUUUGCAGGUAGGUUUAUUAGCGCAUCCAGGGACAGUUAAAAGCAUCGUUGAU
RNAcentral lists this small RNA (370 nucleotides) under Drosophila mojavensis. RNAcentral's name for it is "GI26756". Lineage: Eukaryota; Metazoa; Arthropoda; Insecta; Diptera; Drosophilidae. The record is from RNAcentral.